UUUUUAGAUUAAAAACAUAAAAUAAGUGUAAAAUGCACUUUUUAAACGGUUCUUGACUAUGGGCAUGUAUAUUUUAUGGUUGAUGUAAAGUGUAAGAGUUGGACAUUUUUUAUGCCGUAUUCUCCACAUUAAUUGUCUAUUAUAAAAUGAUGGGAUGGAUCCAAAGCUAUGUACUAAUAUAUUUGAUUGGGACUUGCCAGUUAAAAAUGGACAUGGAAAAUUCUCGUUUGUUGUAUGUUCAGUUAGUAUCAAGAUAUACGCCGGGCUAUUCGAUGAAAUUUACAAUACGACCGACACGAGUUAAGAAACAAACAGACAAUUUUUAUCCAAAUGUUUUGUCGAAAUGUUUCCGCCAACAAGGGAAAUGAGGGGUUCCAAAUCAACCGAAGGCUACGAAUGAGUCUGAAAUGACAACGAAUUGAUGAAUGACGGUCGAAAAAUGGAGACAUUAAGGCAACACCCAGCAGGCAGGUUGCAGUCGGGCC
Molecule: long non-coding RNA, 485 nt
Filed under: Mytilus galloprovincialis (Mediterranean mussel)
Lineage: Eukaryota; Metazoa; Mollusca; Bivalvia; Mytilida; Mytilidae
Source: RNAcentral